This 467-nucleotide ribosomal RNA is filed under the name uncultured Magnetospirillum sp. RNAcentral's name for it is "bacterial SSU rRNA". It matches the Rfam family "Bacterial small subunit ribosomal RNA", at positions 85 to 587 of the family's 1533-position model. The record is from RNAcentral. Lineage: Bacteria; Pseudomonadati; Pseudomonadota; Alphaproteobacteria; Rhodospirillales; Rhodospirillaceae.
UUCGGCCAUAGUGGCGCACGGGUGAGUAACGCGUGGGAACCUGCCCAGCAGUGGGGGAUAACUUCGGGAAACCGGGGCUAAUACCGCAUACGCCCUUAGGGGGAAAGAUUUAUCGCUGUUGGAGGGGCCCGCGUCCGAUUAGUUUGUUGGUGGGGUAAUGGCCUACCAAGACUACGAUCGGUAGCUGGUCUGAGAGGAUGAUCAGCCACACUGGGACUGAGACACGGCCCAGACUCCUACGGGAGGCAGCAGUGGGGAAUAUUGGACAAUGGGCGCAAGCCUGAUCCAGCAAUGCCGCGUGAGUGAUGAAGGCCUUAGGGUUGUAAAGCUCUUUCGGCGGGGACGAUGAUGACGGUACCCGCAGAAGAAGCCCCGGCUAACUUCGUGCCAGCAACCGCGGUAAUACGAAGGGGGCUAGCGUUGUUCGGAAUUACUGGGCGUAAAGAGCACGUAGGCGGUUCGUUAAA